GCGAGCAAUAAUUGAUUCAUCACCUUCCUCACUACUAUUAGCCUAGUACUUAGAAACAGAACUCAAUUCCUACCAUUUUAGAAUGAAAAUCCUAACCCCAACCCUAGCUCAAUUCCCCCAAUUUCACGACAUUGACUCGCGUUCUGCGUUCUUCUCUCUCGCCGUCGUGGUGUUCUUCACUGCUCUGCUCUGCUCUGCUCGUGUCAUGUGCUUCUUCUCGCAUCGUGCUCUGCUCCGCCAUGUUCGAUCUUCAGCUCGCGCCAUUCUGAAACAUUCGCUUUGCUCCGCCGUGGUGUCGUUCACAUCUUCCUCUCAAGUCUCUCAGAUCUAUGAUUUGGACAGCACAGGCUUUGCAAUUCUCUUGCAGUUUCAUUUAAGCUCUAUGAUUUGGACAGCACAGGCUUUAUGAAUGCCAAGAGAUUGUUGAUAUUGGCAAAACUCUGCCGUUGUUCAUGGAGCUUCAAACCUUAGGUUACAGGACGUGAAGAAGCUGGCAUUUGAUCACAUAAUUCACAGUAUUAAGUGAACCAGAAGCAUAAGAAAAAAGCGAAGAACCAUGCUCUGAAAGUGUCUUGUUUUCAAUGCUAUAGGUCUCAUUUAAUUUGAGUUGAACCUUUUGGUUAUGUUGGCUGUGUGAUUUCCUCAGAUGGCUCUGCUAAUUGAACAAUUUGAAUGAAUGUUUGUGUGUGUGUUUGUUCUUUGUCUGUUUUCAAAAGGAAAAGGAUGAAGCAUGAGUUAAGAAAGCGCUUGUGACACUAUGUGAACUUCACAGAAGAAAAAAUUGGUUUGACAAGAGAACAACUAAUACAAUGUUCACUGUUUGUUUCCAUCCAGCACCAAGGUUUUUAUUUUCUCCUUUAUAUUUUGUGAUUGUGCGACUGUUUUGAAAUUCUGAUAUUAGGCAUAAAGAUAGUUUUUGGUGUUAUCGGGAUCAUGAAAGCAUCUUUAUCGUCUCAAUAUGAACAAGACUAAGCAGCAAAGGUAGAAUUUGAUUCACAGAGAGGCGAUGUGUGUGAUUCUCAACUGUCAGAUCAUUAGUGAUUUGAUUUUCUAAUGUAACAGUAUAGCUUUAAGAUAAUUCUAUUAUGGUGAAGAGAUUUUAUGCAUCUCAAUAAUAAAAACUAAGCUUCAUUGAUAUAUGUGCAGGUUACUUGUGGUAGUAGCUGAGAUGUUGUGCUAGAUAUUUGCAGAGUUACCAGCAUGGCCAGGGAGACAGAAGGGAGAAGAAGAAAGAAGAAACAAGAACUCACAAUGCUCAGCUGCAUGCUACCAUCUCAGGGGCUGCAGUGGCUUCUGCUGUGGCAGCCAUCGCGGCUGCAAUGGCUGCUUCAUCUGUACCAAGCAAGGAUGAGAGGAUGGCCAAGACUGACAUGGCUAUGGCCUCUGCAGCCACAUUGGUGGCCGCGCAGUGUGUCGAGGCUGCUGAGGCAAUGGGGGCCGGGAGAGAUCACCUACCUUCUGUGGUUAGCUCAGCUGUCAAUAUCCGCUCUCAUGAUAUCACUACUCUUACCACUGCAACUGCAACAAGUAGCACUCCUUGAUGACGUUGUCAAGAAUCAACAAGAGUAUAGUUGCAUUGUCAAUUAGCCCCUCAUAGGACAAAAUGUGUAGUGUGAACUAAGAGAUAGUAUCUUAUUAAUGUGUACAGAUUUAUUUAAUGAUUAAAUGAUUAUACAUGUUUCUUAACUUUUGUAUUUUCAAUGCAAAAACAAUCCUUA
Molecule: RNA transcript, 1718 nt
Organism: Arachis stenosperma
Lineage: Eukaryota; Viridiplantae; Streptophyta; Magnoliopsida; Fabales; Fabaceae
Gene name: VAN3-binding protein-like
Exons: 4
Source: RefSeq, a predicted model, not a curated record